UGGGGAAUAUUGGGCAAUGGGCGAAAGCCUGACCCAGCAACGCCGCGUGAAGUAUGAAGGCCUUCGGGUUGUAAACUUCUUUGAUCAGGGAAGAAACAAAUGACGGUACCUGAAAAACAAGCCACGGCUAACUACGUGCCAGCAGCCGCGGUAAUACGUAGGUGGCGAGCGUUAUCCGGAUUUACUGGGUGUAAAGGGCGUGCAGGCGGGCUGAUAAGUCAGAUGUGAAAUCCCCGGGCUUAACUCGGGAACUGCAUCUGAUACUGUUGGGCUUGAGUGCGGGAGAGGAUAGUGGAAUUCCUAGUGUAGCGGUAAAAUGCGCAGAUAUUAGGAGGAACACCAGUGGCGAAGGCGGCUAUCUGGACAGUAACUGACGCUGAGGCGCGAAAGCGUGGGUAGCAAACAGG
This 407-nucleotide ribosomal RNA is filed under the name Verrucomicrobiota bacterium. Its description in RNAcentral is "Verrucomicrobia bacterium partial 16S ribosomal RNA". It matches the Rfam family "Bacterial small subunit ribosomal RNA", at positions 355 to 776 of the family's 1533-position model. The record is from RNAcentral. Lineage: Bacteria; Pseudomonadati; Verrucomicrobiota.